Tigriopus californicus is the source of this 731-nucleotide long non-coding RNA. RefSeq lists it as uncharacterized. Lineage: Eukaryota; Metazoa; Arthropoda; Copepoda; Harpacticoida; Harpacticidae. The transcript is spliced from 2 exons. The record is from RefSeq and is a predicted model, not a curated record.
ACCCCCAGGAUGUAGAAGAGGACCUCCAAUGGCCUUUUCUUUAUCCCUUAUUUUCAAUGUCGAGGAUUUCAUUGGUUUGUUUUUGUUCUAUGUCUUGAAUUGUUUUGGGUUUUCUCAUUCGAUCACCCUGCUCUGGAACUAUCCCUCGGCCGAAGCCAAGCCAAUUUGGAUAGCCAGCGCCUUUGGGAUCUGAAGGGGUAUGUUUAUUGAUCACGAGCAUUUCACGCGCUCGUUCGCGUUUUUCUGUACCAGCCUGGGACCCGGAGCUAGUGGGUCUCAACUCACAACCACUCGUCCUCCUGAAUGGCCAAGGAACGAACAAAGGACCACUCCUGAUCAGGGCUGGAUACCUCUCACAUUUCCUAGCCGAACUGGACCCUCUUGGGACAUGGUGUGGAGCGCGUGGGCUUUGUGAGUUGUUCAAGCGUCGUCCAGCGUUGACGCUACUACCCUUAGCCUCACCACCCUAAACCGUCUCGGCAUUUGGUUAUGGGACAACAAUAUUCCACGGCACUUGGUCCAGGAUGGACCCGACUAACAUCAACCAAAUCAGAUUAGCCACUUAAAACAUCCUGAGAAUCCAGCAACCAUCAAAAGUUGAGCAUCACUUGGGUGCAACAACCCCUCAUUAAUGCGAUCUGAAUUGAAUUUUCAUUGACCGAAUCCGAUCUAUAUCCAAUCAAAGUUCUCACCCAAUCCAACUUGAUCCGAUAUAUUUUUACUUUAUCCGA